GCUUGGGUAGUUUAAAGGUAAAACUCUAAUCUCAUACGUUGGUAAUAAGAGUUCGAUUCUCUUCUCAGGCU
RNAcentral lists this transfer RNA (71 nucleotides) under Ophiocordyceps sinensis. RNAcentral describes it as "tRNA-Met". It matches the Rfam family "tRNA". Rfam says of the family: Transfer RNA (tRNA) molecules are approximately 80 nucleotides in length. Lineage: Eukaryota; Fungi; Ascomycota; Sordariomycetes; Hypocreales; Ophiocordycipitaceae. RNAcentral also lists the same sequence under 4 other names. The record is from RNAcentral.